CAUGCAAGUCGAACGAACCUUCGGGUUAGUGGCGGACGGGUGAGUAACGCGUGAGAAUCUGCCCUCAGGAGGGGGAUAACAGUUGGAAACGACUGCUAAUACCCCAUAUGCCGAGAGGUGAAAUGAAUUUCGCCUGGGGAUGAGCUCGCGUCUGAUUAGCUUGUUGGUGGGGUAAUAGCCUACCAAGGCUUCGAUCAGUAGCUGGUCUGAGAGGACGAUCAGCCACACUGGGACUGAGACACGGCCCAGACUCCUACGGGAGGCAGCAGUGGGGAAUUUUCCGCAAUGGGCGAAAGCCUGACGGAGCAACGCCGCGUGAGGGAUGGAGGCCUUUGGGCUGUAAACCUCUUUUCUCAAGGAAGAAGAUCUGACGGUACUUGAGGAAUAAGCCACGGCUAAUUCCGUGCCAGCAGCCGCGGUAAUACGGGAGUGGCAAGCGUUAUCCGGAAUUAUUGGGCGUAAAGCGUCCGCAGGCGGCCGUUUAAGUCUGUUGUUAAAUCGUGGAGCUCAACUCCAUCACGGCAAUGGGAACUGUUCGGCUUGAGUAUGGUAGGGGCAGAGGGAAUUUCCGGUGUAGCGGUGAAAUGCGUAGAUAUCGGGAAGAACACCAGUGGCGAAAGCGCUCUGCUGGGCCAUUACUGACG
This 644-nucleotide ribosomal RNA is filed under the name uncultured bacterium. RNAcentral's name for it is "bacterial SSU rRNA". It matches the Rfam family "Bacterial small subunit ribosomal RNA", at positions 54 to 745 of the family's 1533-position model. The record is from RNAcentral.